CAAACGACUCUCGGCAACGGAUAUCUCGGCUCACGCAUCGAUGAAGAACGUAGCAAAAUGCGAUACUUGGUGUGAAUUGCAGAAUCCCGUGAACCAUCGAGUUUUUGAACGCAAGUUGCGCCCGAAGCCUUUCGGCUGAGGGCACGUCUGCCUGGGCGUCACGC
RNAcentral lists this ribosomal RNA (164 nucleotides) under Astranthium integrifolium. RNAcentral describes it as "5.8S ribosomal RNA". It matches the Rfam family "5.8S ribosomal RNA". From Rfam's summary of the family: 5.8S ribosomal RNA (5.8S rRNA) is a component of the large subunit of the eukaryotic ribosome. It is transcribed by RNA polymerase I as part of the 45S precursor that also contains 18S and 28S rRNA. Functionally, it is thought that 5.8S rRNA may be involved in ribosome translocation. RNAcentral also lists the same sequence under 1 other name. Lineage: Eukaryota; Viridiplantae; Streptophyta; Magnoliopsida; Asterales; Asteraceae. The record is from RNAcentral.